GCGGCUCAGGCCAGUGUGCUCGACUUGCCGCUGCGUGUUGUUGGCUUCGCGCCACAAGACUCACCAUGUCCUGACCAGUGCAACACAUAUAAGAUCACCCUCAUAACCCAAGAGAAGUAGGGAAGUAUGUAACUAACAAAAAAACAGAUGUAGCAAGUGCAAGGUAGGCUUAGUGGUGCUUAGAGCUUACUUCAACUUUAUCCCAAAGGAUGUACACCGGUCAUCUUCCUCGCUGGUCCCCGACAUUGCCGCAUGCCACCCUUCGAGAAGACAGUAGAGGGAUGAUUCUUCAACUGAAGAUGAAGAAAUGAAGGAAGAGCAAAAAUUUACCUGAGCAUUGGACCGGCGCCAUUCAUGGAUGGAGCUUGGAGGAACCCUCUUCUCCACUUCUCUCGAUCCACUGCCGCUAUUACUGCCUCGCACCAUGCAUCCGAGCCUAGAUAAGAAAGAAUGGCCCUCAACACCUGAACAACACACGGGGCGCAAAAUUGGGCAUACAGAAAAAGGUGCAUCAAUCAAAUAUCUGUAGAGAUGCAUAGCAGGAAAUGCACAUACAACUUCACGGUUUUUUAUGGAUGAAAAUACCAACAUCUAGACCUAAACAUCACCCAAAGAUUAUACAUUUCAAAAUAUAGAGCAGAGAGGCUAUCAAGAGUUGUAUUCUAAAUCUCUUGACAUCACAACUCGUGCAAGAAAAAUGGACAAAAUAAGACACUGCAAGCAAAUGUGCACCAAAUUAUGAGCAAAGAAACUGACAAUUAGAGCAGAUUACUCCGCUUGCCCUUCUCACCGGCCUUCUCCUUCCCC
This 807-nucleotide long non-coding RNA is filed under the name Triticum aestivum (bread wheat). RNAcentral's name for it is "long non-coding RNA (TAES_LNC017074)". Lineage: Eukaryota; Viridiplantae; Streptophyta; Magnoliopsida; Poales; Poaceae. The record is from RNAcentral.